This 561-nucleotide ribosomal RNA is filed under the name metal-contaminated soil clone K20-56. RNAcentral's name for it is "bacterial SSU rRNA". It matches the Rfam family "Bacterial small subunit ribosomal RNA", at positions 54 to 611 of the family's 1533-position model. Lineage: Bacteria; Pseudomonadati; Pseudomonadota; Betaproteobacteria. The record is from RNAcentral.
CAUGCAAGUCGAGCGGCAGCGCGGGGCAACCUGGCGGCGAGCGGCGAACGGGUGAGUAAUGCAUCGGAACAUGUCCAUGUCGUGGGGGAUAGCCCGGCGAAAGCCGGAUUAAUACCGCAUACGCCCGAGAGGGGAAAGCCGGGGACCGCAAGGCCUGGCGCGAUUGGGUUGGCCGAUGUCCGAUUAGCUAGUUGGCGGGGUAAGAGCCCACCAAGGCGAUGAUCGGUAGCUGGUCUGAGAGGAUGAUCAGCCACACUGGGACUGAGACACGGCCCAGACUCCUACGGAAGGCAGCAGUGGGGAAUUUUGGACAAUGGGGGCAACCCUGAUCCAGCCAUUCCGCGUGAGUGAAGAAGGCCUUCGGGUUGUAAAGCUCUUUUGUCCGGAACGAAACGGUUAGUUCUAAUACGACUGACUACUGACGGUACCGGAAGAAUAAGCACCGGCUAACUACGUGCCAGCAGCCGCGGUAAUACGUAGGGUGCGAGCGUUAAUCGGAAUUACUGGGCGUAAAGCGUGCGCAGGCGGUUUUGUAAGCCAGAUGUGAAAUCCCCGGGCUUA